RNAcentral lists this ribosomal RNA (454 nucleotides) under uncultured Paludibacter sp. Its description in RNAcentral is "partial 16S ribosomal RNA". It matches the Rfam family "Bacterial small subunit ribosomal RNA", at positions 341 to 792 of the family's 1533-position model. The record is from RNAcentral. Lineage: Bacteria; Pseudomonadati; Bacteroidota; Bacteroidia; Bacteroidales; Paludibacteraceae.
ACGGGAGGCAGCAGUGAGGAAUAUUGGUCAAUGGAGGCAACUCUGAACCAGCCAUCUCGCGUGAAGGAAUACGGCCCUACGGGUCUUAAACUUCUUUUAUAGGGGGAUAAAGUGAGAUACGCGUAUCUUUUUGUAGGUACCCUAUGAAUAAGCAUCGGCUAACUCCGUGCCAGCAGCCGCGGUAAUACGGAGGAUGCGGGCGUUAUCCGGAUUUAUUGGGUUUAAAGGGUGCGUAGGCGGAUGAGUAAGUCAGUGGUGAAAUAUCCUAGCUCAACUAGGAGGCUGCCAUUGAUACUGCUUAUCUAGAGUGCGAACGGCGCCGGCGGAAUGUGUCAUGUAGCGGUGAAAUGCUUAGAGAUGACACAGAACACCGAUCGCGAAGGCAGCUGGCGAGCACGACACUGACGCUGAGGCACGAAGGUGCGGGGAUCAAACAGGAUUAGAUACCCUGGUA